Molecule: ribosomal RNA, 486 nt
Filed under: uncultured bacterium
Lineage: Bacteria
Description: partial 16S ribosomal RNA
Rfam family: Bacterial small subunit ribosomal RNA
Source: RNAcentral
AUUGAACGCUGGCGGCAUGCCUUACACAUGCAAGUCGAACGGCAGCACGGGUGCUUGCACCUGGUGGCGAGUGGCGAACGGGUGAGUAAUACAUCGGAACAUGUCCUGUAGUGGGGGAUAGCCCGGCGAAAGCCGGAUUAAUACCGCAUACGAUCUACGGAUGAAAGCGGGGGACCUUCGGGCCUCGCGCUAUAGGGUUGGCCGAUGGCUGAUUAGCUCGUUGGUGGGGUAAAGGCCUACCAAGGCGACGAUCAGUAGCUGGUCUGAGAGGACGACCAGCCACACUGGGACUGGGACACGGCCCAGACUCCUACGGGAGGCAGCAGUGGGGAAUUUUGGACAAUGGGCGAAAGCCUGAUCCAGCAAUGCCGCGUGUGUGAAGAAGGCCUUCGGGUUGUAAAGCACUUUUGUCCGGAAAGAAAUCCUUGGCCCUAAUACGGUCGGGGGAUGACGGUACCGGAAGAAUAAGCACCGGCUAACUACGUG